CGAAGGGGCUAGCGUUGCUCGGAAUUACUGGACGUAAAGGGCGCGUAGGCGGCACUGUUAGUCAGGCGUGAAAGUCCUGGGCUCAACCUGGGAACUGCGCUUGAUACGGCAGAGCUAGAGGAUGGAAGAGGCUCGCGGAAUUCCCAGUGUAGAGGUGAAAUUCGUAGAUAUUGGGAAGAACACCGGUGGCGAAGGCGGCGAGCUGGUCCAUUACUGACGCUGAGGCGCGACAGCGUGGGAGCAAACAGGAUU
This 252-nucleotide ribosomal RNA is filed under the name uncultured bacterium. Its description in RNAcentral is "partial 16S ribosomal RNA". It matches the Rfam family "Bacterial small subunit ribosomal RNA", at positions 527 to 779 of the family's 1533-position model. The record is from RNAcentral.